Molecule: ribosomal RNA, 253 nt
Filed under: uncultured bacterium
Lineage: Bacteria
Description: partial 16S ribosomal RNA
Rfam family: Bacterial small subunit ribosomal RNA
Source: RNAcentral
GACGAACCGUGCAAACGUUAUUCGGAAUCACUGGGCUUAAAGGGCGCGUAGGCGGGCAACCAAGUCCGAGGUGAAAUCCUCCAGCUUAACUGGAGAAGUGCCCCGGAUACUGGUGGCCUCGAGGAGGGUAGGGGCAUCUGGAACUAGCGGUGGAGCGGUGAAAUGCGUUGAUAUCGCUAGGAACUCCGGUGGCGAAGGCGAGGUGCUGGACCCUUUCUGACGCUGAGACGCGAAAGCGUGGGGAGCGAACAGG